UCUCAAAAAUAGUAGACCAGUGUUAUUUUUGGUGGUACGUGGUAUUUUAGUGACACCUAUAGUUAAGUUUGGCCAGCGUUUUCUAUUGUAAGAUCUUGUUUGCAGUUACAUAUAACUUUGCCAAAGUUAAACUGUUAGGGCUGAAAAUUCCCAUCUGCUUUGUUGAGAACCUGUCACAACUCCAUUCUGUGGAACAAGGACUUGAAAUGUGUCAGGGUGGGAUGUCCGUUUGCCCUUCUGUUACAGAAAUGUUUUCAUGUGGCCUUUGAAAAAUCUGUAUAUGUUCAGUAGAGACUUGUUAGAGAUUGACAGCUAAAUUCUCUGAAGCAUGCUCCAGCCCCUCUCAGCUUCUACAUGCCAACUGGACUGCGCAUGUGCCUUCCCUAUAGAGUGAUUGAAAAUGCUCCAUCCCAGGGCUGCAGUGGCUGAAUAGGACUUUCUUUGCAAUUGUUCUGCUAGAGGGAGAACAUGGAAACGUUUUUUUCCUGUGCGCUCAAUGCCUUCCCUACUGUGUGUGUGGUUAGUGAGGAGGAGGAGUUGGCCUGACUUGACUGUAGAAAGGUGAGGGGUGGAGGACAGACAAGGGUAGAAGCUGGCAGGAGGUGGAAUUCAGGGACAGGUGCUGGAAAGGGAAGUGACAGGAGCAGAGGGGGAUAGAAACAAAAGGGAGAGAACUGAGGGGGCGGGGAGAAUAGGAGUGACAGGGAGCAGAGCAGGAGUAAGGCAUGGGGGUGAUGAGUAGGAGCCGGGAGGGAUAGUCAUGGGGAAAAUUGGGGAGUAAGGUGGGUAGGAGCAGAAAGGGAGAAGGAGAGGAAUGGGGCGGAAGGGCUAUAACCACUAAAGCACACUCCCCUGCAGGACCUGGAAAGGAACCCAUUUUUCCUGCGUCUCAACAUUCUUUUGCUGUCUAGUAAACAGGUGAGGAACCCACUGGUAAAGUAUGUUCCCAUCCCACUCUAAUGGCACGUACACAUAGAAGAUACUACAUUAAUUCAGGUGGCAGAGGACUGAUAUAGAUUUAAAGUUCCUAACCCUGCUGGUGACCCAUGUGGGGUGUUCAGUAUGUCUGCACAGGAUGCCAUUUUUUUUUCAUUUACGUUUUUAAAAUUUAGGAAGCUAUUUCAGAGAUACUAUGCUAAAACAUUUAGGUUUGUAAAGCCAAACACUCAGAAGUUAGGAAAUGCCAAAAUUAGGUUCCCUGUGUAACCUUUAGAGUGAUGUCUUCAGUGUAUGCAUUAUGACACAGUCUUUAAUUACAUGGUCACAUACUGUUUUUUCCACCAGACUUCUGCCUCAUUCAGUGAAAAGGAUGGACUGUCAUCUGGGAAUGAAUGAGUCGAGCAGUAAAUAAGGGAUUUGUAGGACCCCUGCCUCAUUAAUUGUGAAAAUUGGAAAGUGUGGAAAAUGAGGCAGGGAUCCGGUAGGAAGAGAAAAGGUAGUUUUGUGCUUCAAGCAGUUGAAUGCUGCUCCAAAGAAGUGGGUUUUAUCUCUGCUUCUACCACAGAGUUCUUACUUGGUGCUGGGCAUGUGUCCUAAACCAAAAUAUUCCCAGGCAACCACAGUUAGUUCCUUAUUUUCUGGGUACCGAACCCUGAGGACUGAUUUGUAUCAGCAGUGAAUGCUCCAACUGCCACUGAGGUCAGUGAGCUUUACUCUGAACGUAUAAAAUGCUAAAUACACUGAAAAACCAGGCCCAAGGCUUCCCAGAUUGAGUACCCAAAUUGACGUUUCUGGCAAUUUUGGCUUUAAUCUCUGUGCCUCCAUAUCCCAUGUGUAAAAUGGGGAUAAUACCACCUGUUGUAUGAAUUUAGAUAAAAUAAAUAGGUCAAAAGUGUUAACAUAACUUCAUCACUGUCCAGCAUUAAACAAGGUCUAGAGUUUCGUAUACAGAGACCUCAGCCUGUCCAAUACUAUGGCAAAGCAACCAUUAUAAAUCCUUUUAACUUUUUAUUACAGAUCGAGAAGGAGGAAAAACAGUUUAAAGCAUCUGACAUGUAAAGUAUUAGGAGAAAAAUCCACAUCUCAGCAAAAUAGACCUUCUGGCAAAGGUUUCUUCCAUGUUUUGUUUCACAUUAGAAACUGCAUUUGUCUUUAGUGGUUGUAUGCUUGCUUGGCAGAAGAAUGUUUUGACCAUUAAGUUUAAAGAAUCUAAUGACCACUUUGGAUAAAGGACUCAUUCAGUAUCCCAGCACCUUCAGUUAAAGUGAGAUCUCACAAUACACCAAAACUGACCUGCAGCAAAGUCUGGAAAGACUAGACUUGAUAUGUCCAAGACAGCCUGAAAUCAUGGACCUGAGGAGUGAACCAGCAUCGUCUAUAACUCCCUGAAGUUCCCACGAGACUUCCAGUGUGCUGCAGAAGACUGCCCCAGAAUCCAGGGACUUAGAGCCAGCUUGCUGCAGAGUACACCACGGCUGCUUUUGUUUACUUACAUGCAAAAUUCAGGUUUCUGAAGUUUCUCCUCUACACUUUGAGGACUAGUUGCUUUCUUUUCAUGCUGUUUGGGAAGAGAGAGUUCCAAACUUCUAAGUUGUCAGGACAAGCUCUGCAGGUGAGAUUUAUCAUCAUGUUCUCAUCUUGUGUGAAUGCAUUAACAAUCUAAUCAACAGAACACUUAAAGCAAACUGCCUUUUAAUCUUCUAAUCAGUGAUCUAGCUUUUUUAAAGCAAUAACUGUCUUAAUAUAUUUGAGUUAGAUGGUCACAGAAAUACACAACUAAUAUGUAAAUAAAUAAAGUUGCUUCCAGCAUCAUAUGUGACCUUUGAUUAAAAACAGUCCUUGGAGUUUCAAAAAGAUAAAUAGUCAGACCAGAGUUGUAUUGCAAAUUAAGUUAAAAGUUAUGAAUAUUCCAGUUGGUAAAUAAGGAUUGUAAUAUUCAAACUAUACUGAAUUUGAUUUCUGAUUAAUAUAGUUAAGGUUUCAGAAUUAGAAACUUUUUUUUAUAGGAAGUAGACCAAAUUUACUAUUGUAUUGAAGACACACUAGUAAAUAUAAAGUGUCAUUUACUAAAGAAAAGACUGACAGUAGCAGCCACAUCCAGGGUAAUUUUUGUUGUACUUAUUACUGCCCUUCCCUUCUUUCACUGUAGUUUCUAUGGGCUAAAUUCUGUCACCUAUAUCUCCUGAGCAUGAUGGAAAGCCAAAGAGAUGGGACCAGUUGUAGAUAGACUUCUGUAUCCUUGAUUAUCCACGCAUGGAUGUAAGUCAAUGGAGGCAGACCAUUGCACUCUGCCUGACUUACAUACAGAGCCAGUUCAUCUCCACAAGCUAUCAAGACUUCAUUAGUGACCCUGUGUAAUUUCUGAAGCCUUCCCCUCAUCACCCCAAUCAUGUGCAAAGUUAGCCUAGCUCACCAUUACUACAACAUAUGGUGACAACCAGAAAAGGAACAGGCCCCCACACAAGCCCACUGGAACAGUGUUAUUGCUCUGGAUAUUUACUUGCAAAUGUUUAAUGGAGUUGAUUAAACAUCACAAUGUAAAACUAAUUUUUUCCUCCGUUAUAGUAUACGUAAAAAGAGUAG
Chrysemys picta bellii (western painted turtle) is the source of this 3522-nucleotide non-coding RNA. Lineage: Eukaryota; Metazoa; Chordata; Testudines; Emydidae. The record is from RefSeq and is a predicted model, not a curated record.